This 215-nucleotide long non-coding RNA is filed under the name Elaeis guineensis (African oil palm). Its description in RNAcentral is "long non-coding RNA (EGUI_LNC045423)". The record is from RNAcentral. Lineage: Eukaryota; Viridiplantae; Streptophyta; Magnoliopsida; Arecales; Arecaceae.
AAGCGCUCACUAAGCCCCACCGCUAGCCAACUCUCUAUGACUAUCAGCUGUUCUCCGAAUCCCUUCCAGACUUCUUCCAGCCAGGUUCAACUCCAAUCUGAACUACUCCGAACUUCACCAACAGCUGAACUUCCCCAAUGGUGGCUUCCUACAACUACCAGAUUUCAGCCCGGACUCCUACGGGAGCCAGAUCUCGUCCCCGACUUCGACUACAC